GUCCUAUGGGAGGCACCAGUGGGGAAUAUUGGGCAAUGGAGGGAACUCUGACCCAGCGACGCCGCGUGCGGGAUGAAGGCCUUCGGGUUGUAAACCGCUUUCAGCAAGGAAGAAGCGAAAGUGACGGUACUUGCAGAAGAAGCACCGGCUAACUAUGUGCCAGCAGCCGCGGUAAUACAUAGGGUGCAAGCGUUGUCUGGAAUUAUUGGGCGUAAAGAGCUCGUAGGUGGUUCGUCACGUCGGAUGUGAAAAUCUGGGGCUUAACCCCAGACCUGCAUUCGAUACGGGCGAGCUAGAGUGUGGUAGGGGAGACUGGAAUUCCUGGUGUAGCGGUGGAAUGCGCAGAUAUCAGGAGGAACACCAAUGGCGAAGGCAGGUCUCUGGGCCAUUACUGACACUGAGGAGCGAAAGCGUGGGGAGCGAACAGGAUUAGAUACCC
This 439-nucleotide ribosomal RNA is filed under the name actinobacterium SCGC AAA044-B20. RNAcentral describes it as "bacterial SSU rRNA". It matches the Rfam family "Bacterial small subunit ribosomal RNA", at positions 335 to 787 of the family's 1533-position model. The record is from RNAcentral. Lineage: Bacteria; Bacillati; Actinomycetota; Actinomycetes.